Molecule: ribosomal RNA, 293 nt
Filed under: uncultured bacterium
Lineage: Bacteria
Description: partial 16S ribosomal RNA
Rfam family: Archaeal small subunit ribosomal RNA
Source: RNAcentral
GUGCCAGCCGCCGCGGUAAUACCGGCAGCACGAGUGAUGGCCGAUAUUAUUGGGCCUAAAGCGUUCGUAGCCGGCCGGACAAGUCCGUUGGGAAAUCUGCGCGCUUAACGCGCAGGCGGCCAGCGGAAACUGUCCGGCUUGGGGCCGGAAGACCCGAGGGGUACGUCCGGGGUAGGAGUGAAAUCCUGUAAUCCUGGACGGACCGCCGGUGGCGAAAGCGCCUCGGGAGGACGGACCCGACGGUGAGGGACGAAAGCCAGGGUCUCCAACCGGAUUAGAUACCCCAGUAGUCC